RNAcentral lists this ribosomal RNA (253 nucleotides) under uncultured bacterium. RNAcentral's name for it is "partial 16S ribosomal RNA". It matches the Rfam family "Bacterial small subunit ribosomal RNA", at positions 524 to 776 of the family's 1533-position model. The record is from RNAcentral.
UACGUAGGGGGCUAGCGUUGUCCGGAAUCAUUGGGCGUAAAGAGCUCGUAGGCGGUUUGUCGCGUCGGCCGUGAAAUCUCCACGCUUAACGUGGAGCGUGCGGUCGAUACGGGCAGACUUGAGUUCGGUAGGGGAGACUGGAAUUCCUGGUGUAGCGGUGAAAUGCGCAGAUAUCAGGAAGAACACCCGUGGCGAAGGCGGCUCUCUGGGACGGUACUGACGCUGAGACGCGAAAGCGUGGGGAGCGAACAGG